GCAUUUGUGAUGCAAUUGGAAGCAAACUCGACUCGUACUCGAGAGGUCCAGGGUUCGAGUCCUGGCGAGAGUU
This 73-nucleotide transfer RNA is filed under the name Stegodyphus mimosarum. It matches the Rfam family "tRNA". Rfam says of the family: Transfer RNA (tRNA) molecules are approximately 80 nucleotides in length. Their secondary structure includes four short double-helical elements and three loops (D, anti-codon, and T loops). Lineage: Eukaryota; Metazoa; Arthropoda; Arachnida; Araneae; Eresidae. The record is from Rfam by way of RNAcentral.